UACGUAGGGUGCGAGCGUUGUCCGGAAUUAUUGGGCGUAAAGAGCUUGUAGGCGGUCUGUCGCGUCUGCUGUGAAAAUCCGGGGCUUAACCCCGGACUUGCAGUGGGUACGGGCAGACUAGAGUGUGGUAGGGGAGACUGGAAUUCCUGGUGUAGCGGUGAAAUGCGCAGAUAUCAGGAGGAACACCGAUGGCGAAGGCAGGUCUCUGGGCCACUACUGACGCUGAGAAGCGAAAGCAUGGGGAGCGAACAGG
This 253-nucleotide ribosomal RNA is filed under the name uncultured bacterium. RNAcentral describes it as "partial 16S ribosomal RNA". It matches the Rfam family "Bacterial small subunit ribosomal RNA", at positions 524 to 776 of the family's 1533-position model. The record is from RNAcentral.